This 176-nucleotide non-coding RNA is filed under the name human gut metagenome. Its description in RNAcentral is "Lysine riboswitch". It matches the Rfam family "Lysine riboswitch aptamer". Rfam says of the family: Riboswitches are metabolite binding domains within certain messenger RNAs that serve as precision sensors for their corresponding targets. Allosteric rearrangement of mRNA structure is mediated by ligand binding, and this results in modulation of gene expression. This family includes riboswitches that sense lysine in a number of genes involved in lysine metabolism, including lysC. The record is from RNAcentral.
UAGGGUAGAGGCGCGGAAAUUAUUAGUAGUACUGAGGAGGUUCUAGGAAAUCAAAGAAACAGUAUAAAAGGAAUUUUCGCCGAAGUCUGUGAUUGUCCUGCAAUAACAGGCUGGGGCUGUAUCAAAUAGGUACAGGACUGUCAACAGUUGCACCCAGGCAGCUGUUGUUGAGCUAU